CUCCUCUGCUCGUCAAGUGUACCUGCUGAGCUCCAUCCGUGGCAACUAGCUAAACUCCACCCCGCGUCAAGUCUUCAAGCUUCAUCCAAGCAGUGUGCUUUUUGCUCCAUCCGUGCAAACACCCAGCCGCUGUCAUGCAUGGUGCUGCUCUAUCUCUCCAGCCGUCAGCCAUUCAUUAUUGCUCCACCGUGCUCAACGUCCAGACUUCAGCCUCCUUGCCGCAGUUUUGGAGCUCGCUGGUGCCGUCUGGUCCAGCCAUCUCUGUUCUCCUUGUCUCCAAACACCAUGCUGUCUCAGCAACACUCGACCAUCACGUUGGCCGCGUCCGCCGUCGACCGCUGAGAGCUCCGGCGCGAGCUCUCCUCUGGUGCCAGGUGCAGCUCGUCUUCUGCAG
Molecule: unclassified non-coding RNA, 394 nt
Filed under: Zea mays
Lineage: Eukaryota; Viridiplantae; Streptophyta; Magnoliopsida; Poales; Poaceae
Description: misc RNA Zm00001eb124140
Source: RNAcentral